Molecule: ribosomal RNA, 439 nt
Filed under: uncultured bacterium
Lineage: Bacteria
Description: partial 16S ribosomal RNA
Rfam family: Bacterial small subunit ribosomal RNA
Source: RNAcentral
CUACGGGACGCACCAGUGGGGAAUAUUGCACAAUGGAAGAAACUCUGAUGCAGCAACGCCGCGUGGAGGAUGACACUUUUCGGAGCGUAAACUCCUUUUAUAUAGGAAGAAGAUGACGGUACUAUAUGAAUAAGCGCCGGCUAACUCCGUGCCAGCAGCCGCGGUAAUACGGAGGGCGCAAGCGUUACUCGGAAUCACUGGGCAUAAAGAGCGUGUAGGCGGAUUAAAAAGUCAGAAGUGAAAUCCUAUAGCUUAACUAUAGAACUGCUUCUGAAACUCUUAAUCUAGAAUAUGGGAGAGGUAGAUGGAAUUUCUGGUGUAGGGGUAAAAUCCGUAGAGAUCAGAAGGAAUACCGAUUGCGAAGGCGAUCUACUAGAACAUUAUUGACGCUGAGACGCGAAAACGUGGGGAGCAAACAGGAUUAGAUACCCCCGUAGUC